AUUGAACGCUGGCGGAAUGCUUUACACAUGCAAGUCGAACGGCAGCACGGGGGCAGCCCUGGUGGCGAGUGGCGAACGGGUGAGUAAUACAUCGGAACGUGCCCGGUCGUGGGGGAUAACGUAGCGAAAGUUACGCUAAUACCGCAUACGAUCUGAGGAUGAAAGCGGGGGACCUUCGGGCCUCGCGCGAUCGGAGCGGCCGAUGUCGGGUUAGGUAGUUGGUGGGGUAAAGGCCUACCAAGCCGGCGAUCUGUAGCUGGUCGGAGAGGACGACCAGCCACACUGGGACUGGGCCACGGCCCAGACUCCUACGGGAGGCAGCAGUGGGGAAUGUUGGACAAUGGGCGCAAGCCUGAUCCAGCCAUUCCGCGUGCAGGACGAAGGCCUUCGGGUUGUAAACUGCUUUUGUACGGAACGAAAAGGCUCUGGCUAAUACCUGGGGCUCAUGACGGUACCGUAAGAAUAAGCACCGGCUAACUACGUG
Molecule: ribosomal RNA, 484 nt
Filed under: uncultured bacterium
Lineage: Bacteria
Description: partial 16S ribosomal RNA
Rfam family: Bacterial small subunit ribosomal RNA
Source: RNAcentral